AUGUGUAUGAAUACUGAUAAAUCUUUUAAUGGAAUGCUUCCUUCCUACGUCUCUCAGCAGAUCCUUCCCCCAUCCCAUCCCCAUAGCCAAGAUCUGGGUUCCAGCUCCAAUGCUGCCACCAACUGUUCUUGGGCCAGUGGUCUGACCUCUCUGGGCUUUGGCUUCCUCAUCUGUCAGAAGCGUUCUGCCUACCUCACAGUACUGCUGAGCGGAACAAGUGAGGUCCAAUUAGCCUGACUAACCUGGAAGGAGAGAGGACAACCUGAGGCCAGUAGCAGAAAAAGGAUCAGCCCUCAAAGGCAUCCACAAGUCAUCUGGACAAUAAGGGGGUAAGAUGAGAUCUCUG
This 346-nucleotide long non-coding RNA is filed under the name Mustela putorius furo (domestic ferret). RNAcentral's name for it is "lncRNA (ENSMPUG00000029080.1)". The record is from RNAcentral. Lineage: Eukaryota; Metazoa; Chordata; Mammalia; Carnivora; Mustelidae.